GAGCACUACGAGCCACAGCUUAAAACUCAAAGGACUUGGCGGUGCCCUACACCCACCUAGAGGAGCCUGUUCUAUAAUUGAUAACCCCCAAUAUACCUCACCGCCACUUGCAAAUACAGCCUAUAUACCACCGUCACAAGCCCACCUCACCAGAGUAAAAUAGUAGGCUAAAUAAUUAAAAAUAAAAAAGUCAGGUCAAGGUGUAGCACAUGAGUCGGAAAGAAAUGGGCUACAUUUUCUUUAAAGAAAACACGGAGUAUUUUAUGAAAUAAAAUAUAAAGGAGGAUUUAGCAGUAAAAAGAAAAUAGAGAGUUCUUUUAAAAUAGGCAAUAAGGCGAGCACACACCGCCCGUCACCCUCUUCAAAUAUAAGUAAAAAUAAAUAAUGUAAUUAAUAUCCCAGAAGAGGAAAGUCGUAACAUGGUAAGUCUACCGGAAGGUGGCCUUGGA
Molecule: ribosomal RNA, 449 nt
Filed under: Aquiloeurycea galeanae (Galaena false brook salamander)
Lineage: Eukaryota; Metazoa; Chordata; Amphibia; Caudata; Plethodontidae
Description: partial 12S ribosomal RNA
Source: RNAcentral